AUUCCAGCUCCAAUAGCGUAUAUUAAAGUUGUUGCAGUUAAAAAGCUCGUAGUUGGAUUUGUGGUUGGGUCCGUCGGUCCGGCACAUUGUGCGGGUACUUGAUGGACUCGUCCAUCCUUGGGUGGAAUCUGUGUGGCAUUAAGUUGUCGUGCAGGGGAUGCCCAUCGUUUACUGUGAAAAAAUUAGAGUGUUCAAAGCAGGCUUAUGCCGUUGAAUAUAUUAGCAUGGAAUAAUGAGAUAGGACCUUGGUACUAUUUUGUUGGUUUGCGCACCGAGGUAAUGAUUAAUAGGGACAGUUGGGGGUAUUCGUAUUCCAUUGUCAGAGGUGAAAUUCUUGGAUUUUUGGAAGACGAACUACUGCGAAAGCAUUUACCAAGGAUGUUUUCAUCG
Molecule: ribosomal RNA, 390 nt
Filed under: Grammonema sp.
Lineage: Eukaryota; Bacillariophyta; Fragilariophyceae; Fragilariales; Fragilariaceae
Description: partial small subunit ribosomal RNA
Rfam family: Eukaryotic small subunit ribosomal RNA
Source: RNAcentral